UCACUAGCUUCUGAAUAAACAUCAAUUUGUGGGAUCCUGUGGGGAAUGACUUCUUUUUUGUUAAACAUUUUAAAAUUAUCACGCUGAAAGAUAAUUUCCUUAAUAGCCUGAUCCUUUUCUUUCAGAUUAAUUCAAGAAUCCCAAGUCAUUUCUGCAUCAAUGAUUUUGUAUAAAUUCUAGUUUUUAACUGAAUUAAUUCUUUCACAACGAAUUUUGUAGAAACAAUUUUGACACACAUGCUUACUAAAUUUCUCACUGUUGAAUACGCUUCGGGGCAGUAUUUUCGACAGUGUCUGUUCUUUCCGCAGCUGAAGCAAGUUCCUGUUGGCUUGAAGCUAGUCGCACUGGGGUGAACAACUCGUCUGAAGUCUGAUUCAGCAUUCCGAAACUGAAUUUUAUCUGGAGCUUUGGAGAUCGUUGACGAUACAUCCGAAAAUUUUGAUUUCCUGACUGGUGGACCUCCUUCAGGUAGAGAAUGAUGCAGAGAAUGAGUCCUCACACACUUCAAUUUCCACAGCAGAAAAUAAACAAGCCAAAUAAAAUCAAAUCAACACGAACAAAAAAAAAAUAAAGCAAGUGUCUUGUAAAUAUAUGUAAAUAUUCAUAGAAGCUUUUUCUGACAAUUGUACGUAUAUAUUGGCUGGACCAAUAUAUACGUACAAAAACGUAAAAAAUUUGACCAAUCAAA
Molecule: long non-coding RNA, 688 nt
Organism: Hydractinia symbiolongicarpus
Lineage: Eukaryota; Metazoa; Cnidaria; Hydrozoa; Anthoathecata; Hydractiniidae
Exons: 3
Source: RefSeq, a predicted model, not a curated record